GACGAACGCUGGCGGCGUGCUUAACACAUGCAAGUCGAACGGAAAGGCCCUGCUUUUGUGGGGUGCUCGAGUGGCGAACGGGUGAGUAACACGUGAGUAACCUGCCCUUGACUUUGGGAUAACUUCAGGAAACUGGGGCUAAUACCGGAUAGGAGCUCCUGCGGCAUGGUGGGGGUUGGAAAGUUUCGGCGGUUGGGGAUGGGCUCGCGGCUUAUCAGCUUGUUGGUGGGGUAGUGGCUUACCAAGGCUUUGACGGGUAGCCGGCCUGAGAGGGUGACCGGCCACAUUGGGACUGAGAUACGGCCCAGACUCCUACGGGAGGCAGCAGUGGGGAAUAUUGAACAAUGGGCGGAAGCCUGAUGCAGCAACGCCGCGUGCGGGAUGACGGCCUUCGGGUUGUAAACCGCUUUCGCCUGUGACGAAGCGUGAGUGACGGUAAUGUGUAAAGAAGCACCGGCUAACUACGUG
RNAcentral lists this ribosomal RNA (468 nucleotides) under uncultured bacterium. Its description in RNAcentral is "partial 16S ribosomal RNA". It matches the Rfam family "Bacterial small subunit ribosomal RNA", at positions 28 to 507 of the family's 1533-position model. The record is from RNAcentral.